AUGCAUUGGGUGUCGUGGAAGAAUCUAGCUACACCGAAGUGCAAAGGAGGUAUGGGUUUUCGAGACCCUCGUCAGUUUAACCUUGCGCUACUUGGAAAGCACGGAUGGAGAUUCCUAACCAAUCCGAGCUCUCUCUGUGCAAGGGUUUUAAAAGGCCGCUACUUUCCUGACACGGAUUUUAUGCAUGCAACAGUCCCCAAGUCUGCUUCUGCAACUUGGAGGGCGAUAUAUAAUAGCGGGCAGGGAAGCUCUGAAGGCGGGGUUGAUCAAAAGAGUGGGAGAUGGAUCCUCCAUUGA
This 297-nucleotide ribosomal RNA is filed under the name Triticum aestivum (bread wheat). RNAcentral's name for it is "partial small subunit ribosomal RNA". Lineage: Eukaryota; Viridiplantae; Streptophyta; Magnoliopsida; Poales; Poaceae. The record is from RNAcentral.